Molecule: long non-coding RNA, 2395 nt
Filed under: Vigna radiata
Lineage: Eukaryota; Viridiplantae; Streptophyta; Magnoliopsida; Fabales; Fabaceae
Description: long non-coding RNA (VRAD_LNC013986)
Source: RNAcentral
CUGAUAAUGCUAAUGUGAAUGUGAAUGUCAAUGUGAAAGCUAAUGUAAAUGCAAAUGCGAAUACGAAUACUAAUACUAAUUUGCGAAUGCGAAUGCUAGAGCUGUCAAAACGGGUAACCCGGCUCAACCCGGCCCGGCCCACCACGGGUUGGUCACUUAGUGAGUCAACCCAACCCGGCUCAUUUAUUAGCGAGCCAGAAAAACUUGAACCCGGCCCGACCCACCACGGGUUGGUGGGUAAACGGGUUGGCUCACUAUCCCAUUUAAUUAUAUUUUUUUAAAAUAAAAAAAAUACAAACUUUCUAUAAUUUAAAUUUAAACAAAUUUCACUCCUAAAAAAUUAUGUUAAAGACCAAUUCCGACAAUCAAUAAAAAAAUAUUAGUAAAAAAAAAAAAGAAUCAAUACUCAAUAACAUAUUCAAAAAUAUCAAAAAGAGUUUGUUUAAAUAAUGUAUACUCAAAUUGUUUAAAUAAAAUGAACAAAAUCUGAUACAAGCAUGUCAGAACAUGAAAAAAAUCAAUUCAUGUCUUCAAAUCCCCCAAAACCAAAAACAAAUUCGCAAACCCCUAGUUUUGUCAUUAUAAAAAAAGAAAAAGAAAGAGAAGUGAGAAAACAAAAAUGUGGAGAAAAAAGAAGAAAAAAUGAAGNGUGUUUUACCUGAGGAAUUUCAGUGAAGUGAGGGUGAGAGCACCGUCAAAUGAGAGAAGUACGUGAUUUGUAAGAGCAGAUGUUACUUUUUUGGUAUACACAGUGAGUGAAGAUAGUAUUUUAUUUUUUAGGGUUUCAAAAAUAAAAUAAUAAAAUAAAAAAAUAAAAUUAGGUAGGUGGGUUGGUGGGCCAACCCGGCUCACCACGGGUUCAACCCGCAUGAGCCGGGUCUAAAUGAGCCGGGUUGAAAUCUGACCCGCACAUAAGUGGAUUGUAUUUUUCAAACCCAACCCGGCCCGAAUCCGUGACGGGCCGGGUUGGCUCGCGGGUUGUGACCCAUUUUGACGGCUCUAGCGAAUGCUAAUAUGCAAAUACUAAUCCUAAUUCUAAUGUAUGAAUCCGAAUGCAAAUGUGAAUGUUAUUGCUAAUGCUAAUGUUAUAGGGACACUUCAUACAAGAAAAGAAAUCAGAGAAAACAACCGAUAAAAAAAUCAUUCAAGAACUAAAAAUUUCCAAUGAUAGGAAAUGGAAACAGAAUUAAAGCUAAAGAACAUAAAAGUAAUGCAAGAAUCAAAAUAAAGAGCAAAAUUUGCAAACCACAAUAAGGAAAUAAAAAAGAAAUUGGAACAAUCAGUGCAAGAAACCCAAACUAAAAAUACAAGAAACAAAAGUAACAUCGAAAUUCAAAAAUAGAAUGCAAAAUCAAAGAAUUCAAUCGUUGUAAAAGUAAAAUCAUAUGCAAGAAAUUAAAAUAUUAAACAAAAACAUAAAAUUUGGCAUGAACACUAAACUGAAAAGUUAAAAAUUUAUUAAGAAAGAAUUGAAAACAAGAGUACAAUACUGGAUUCACCAAAACACUCACGGUCUGUCACCCACCUGAGAACCUAGCCGAAUUCAAACAUUGAUUCUUAACUAAGCCCACUAGCCAAAUAACCACCUUGUUCACAUUUUUGCAUUGCACCUUUUGCUUUGAGCCUAUUUACCCCUUUUUGCAUUGUUUAGCUCCUUACAAGCCUUUAGACAAAAAAAACCAAUAAAUACCUAAUCAUGGACUGUGAGAGGCUAUGAAAAAUAUUUUGGAAAAUCUUGUGAACUCAAGUAUGGGGAAGUGGCCUGAGCAGUUUGGUACAAAAAAAUGUUGAACAGUGUGAAAAAUAAGUUUGAAACUAAAAAUAUAUAUUGUGGUCUGUGAUGAGAAAAUAGAAAAAGUUUGAAAUGAAGAGUUGUAGGAAGGAAAAUAAAAGAAGAAAAGUGGCCUGACCAGCAUGAUACAAAAAAAAUGUAUAAUGUGAAUAAGAAGUUUGAAAUUAAAGAAAGAAACAAAGCUAAAAAAAGAGAAAAAAUAGAAAAAGUUGUAAAUGAAGGGAGGUGGAAGAGAAAAGAAAAGAGAAAAGUGGUCUAAGCAAUAUACAAAAAAAAUUGAGUAGUGUGAAAAAGAAGUUUGAAUUUGAAAAAAAAACAGCAAAGCCGAAAAAAGAGAAUUAAACUAUGGUUUAUGUUUGAAGAGAAAAAUAGAAAAAGUUUGAAAUGAAGGGAAGUGGGAAAUAAAAGAAAAGAAGAAAAGUGAAGGUUUUGCCUAAAAUGAAAACACUCAACUCACACGGUUGUUUCCAGAGUUUUCCGAUGUUUAUGCUAAUGUCAAUACUAAUGCUAAUGCUAAUGCUAAUACUAAUGCGAAGGCCAAUCCUAAUGUGCGAAGGCCAAUGUGCGAAUGUUAAUGUGUGAAUGCUAAUGCUAAUUGAUAAU